This is a long non-coding RNA of Corticium candelabrum, 718 nucleotides long. RefSeq lists it as uncharacterized. Lineage: Eukaryota; Metazoa; Porifera; Homoscleromorpha; Homosclerophorida; Plakinidae. The transcript is spliced from 6 exons. The record is from RefSeq and is a predicted model, not a curated record.
UUUUAGUUAUAUUGUAUUGUAUUGUAUUGGUUAUUAAAGGGUCAGACUGCACUGCAUUUGGCUGCUAAACAUGGACACAGAGGCAUCAUAUAUACACUCAUUGAGGACUAUUCUGCUGACAUUUACACUCGAGACUAUGCAGGACGGCAGCCCAGGGAUAUCGUGAAGGCUGGCGUAUCGCAGGAUACGAAAGAGAUCUUGGAUUGCAAAGCUGUAGAACCAGAGAUCGCUCACACACAAUCAUCCGACGGUCUAAUGAAAUGUACGAACGGUUGCAGCAGCAUGGGCGACUUGACCGACUUUGUGAAGCCUCCACUCAACAAGAAGCAGUCUUUUGGCUCAUCGAUAUUACGAGCCAGCCUGCGCAGAUUGAAAGGAAGCAGAGACGAAAAGAAAAAAGCAAAAACCAAAAUUGAAAUUAAUGUCAUCACCAGACCAGAAUAUGCUGAUUGGGUACGGGAACCGCCUAUCAAGCAGUCAGCAUCUGAAGGGAACAUUGACAGUGUGGAUUUAUGAUUCAUGUCUUUCCCCUAUACCGAGAAACUUUAAUAGACAGAUUUUGUAUGGUACAUGUAUGCACACUUAACAAUGCUAAGUAAUGGAGGACGGAAGCUGACUUACAAACGUAAUUGCAACGAGAUAUUUUUGGUUCAUUAGCAAAUUAGAUCAUCAAGAUGUUAUAGUAGAGUUAAAGCAACAUACAUAAGCUCAGAGUUGA